GGAGGACAGAGGUUUUCAGGGGGCUGCUACCAGUCCCACUGCUUGAUGAGCAGCCAGCCAUGGAAAGCGCCUCUCGCACAAUUUUCUCAUUCUCACUGACUCGAGAGUUUCAGAAAAACAUCUGGGCUGCAUGACAUCAACCCAUCAUUGUUAUCACGGCCAUUGUCAGGGUCACAUUGUCACCACUGCCUCCGUGAGACCUGUGGUGGGAGCUGAUAUGAUCUUUGAGUCCAUCAAGGCCAAAGUCGCCCAGACUUCCUGCUGUUGAAGAUCAGAGGACUUGGCUAUGCAAAGAGCGCUGCCUGGGUUCGAAUGCUGGCUUGUUCUACCAGCUGCCCAGGACACCUACAGCACUGCAGCAAAUCACGUGGAGGGUUCACUAUGAGCUGCACAGCAGGCUGAGAAAUAAAGUUACUCAAGAAACUGCCCUUAACAAAAUGGAGAUCUUACUAUUAAAAAGAAAAAGAUUGGGAGGAGAGCAGAAAGGAAUUAAAAACAACAAAACCCCAAAACACGGCUGUCGGGAUCUGGGAAGGCGGACAGUGUUUCUUCGAUGCCCCGCUUCCUUUGAAGUGUUUGUUGUACCGCGGAU
This 592-nucleotide long non-coding RNA is filed under the name Fukomys damarensis (Damara mole-rat). RNAcentral describes it as "lncRNA (ENSFDAG00000022922.1)". The record is from RNAcentral. Lineage: Eukaryota; Metazoa; Chordata; Mammalia; Rodentia; Bathyergidae.